This 301-nucleotide ribosomal RNA is filed under the name uncultured bacterium. RNAcentral's name for it is "partial 16S ribosomal RNA". It matches the Rfam family "Bacterial small subunit ribosomal RNA", at positions 509 to 807 of the family's 1533-position model. The record is from RNAcentral.
CAGUAGCCGCGGUAAAACGGAGGGUGCAAGCGUUAAUCGGAAUUACUGGGCGUAAAGCGCACGCAGGCGGUCUGACAAGUCAGAUGUGAAAUCCCCGGGCUUAACCUGGGAACUGCAUUUGAAACUGUCAGGCUGGAGUCUUGUAGAGGGGGGUAGAAUUCCAGGUGUAGCGGUGAAAUGCGUAGAGAUCUGGAGGAAUACCGGUGGCGAAGGCGGCCCCCUGGACAAAGACUGACGCUCAGGUGCGAAAGCGUGGGGAGCAAACAGGAUUAGAUACCCGUGUAGUCCCUGUCUCUUAUAC